RNAcentral lists this signal recognition particle RNA (148 nucleotides) under Nomascus leucogenys (northern white-cheeked gibbon). RNAcentral's name for it is "Metazoan signal recognition particle RNA". It matches the Rfam family "Metazoan signal recognition particle RNA". From Rfam's summary of the family: The signal recognition particle (SRP) is a universally conserved ribonucleoprotein. Lineage: Eukaryota; Metazoa; Chordata; Mammalia; Primates; Hylobatidae. The record is from Rfam by way of RNAcentral.
GCCAGGUGCGGUGGUGCAUGCCUGUAGUCCCAGCUACUUGAGAGGCUGAGGCAGGAGGAUCACUUGAGCCCAGGAGGUCAAGGCUGCAGUGAGCUGUGAUUGCACCACUGCACUCUAGCCUGGGCGACAGAGUGAGACCCUGUCUCAA